RNAcentral lists this ribosomal RNA (230 nucleotides) under uncultured bacterium. Its description in RNAcentral is "partial 16S ribosomal RNA". It matches the Rfam family "Bacterial small subunit ribosomal RNA", at positions 561 to 791 of the family's 1533-position model. The record is from RNAcentral.
UAAAGCGCGCGUAGGUGGUUUGUUAAGUUGGAUGUGAAAUCCCCGGGCUCAACCUGGGAACUGCAUUCAAACUGACUGACUAGAGUAUGGUAGAGGGUGGUGGAAUUUCCUGUGUAGCGGUGAAAUGCGUAGAUAUAGGAAGGAACACCAGUGGCGAAGGCGACCACCUGGACUAAUACUGACACUGAGGUGCGAAAGCGUGGGGAGCAAACAGGAUUAGAUACCCCAGU